Molecule: ribosomal RNA, 431 nt
Filed under: uncultured archaeon
Lineage: Archaea
Description: bacterial SSU rRNA
Rfam family: Archaeal small subunit ribosomal RNA
Source: RNAcentral
UACCAGCUCUUCGAGUGGUGUGGAUGUUUAUUGGGCCUAAAGCAUCCGUAGCUGGCUGGGCAAGUCCCCUGUUAAAUCCACCGAUUUAAUCGUUGGAGUGCGGGGGAUACUGUUCGGCUAGGGGACGGGAGAGGCAGACGGUAUUUUCGGGGUAGGGGUGAAAUCCUAUAAUCCCGGGAAGACCACCAGUGGCGAAGGCUGUCUGCUAGAACGCGCCCGACGGUGAGGGAUGAAAGCUGGGGGAGCGAACCGGAUUAGAUACCCGGGUAGUCCCAGCUGUAAACGAUGCAGGCUAGGUGUUUGGGCGGCCACGUGCCGCUCUAGUGCCGCAGGGAAGCCGUUAAGCCUGCCGCCUGGGGAGUACGGCCGCAAGGCUGAAACUUAAAGGAAUUGGGCGGGGGAGCACCACGAAGGGGUGAAGCUUGCGGUUU